GGAGAGGUGGGUGAGUGGCUGAAACCACAUGUUUGCUAAACAUGCGUACGUGUUAAAGCGUACCGGGGGUUCGAAUCCCCCUCUCUCCGCAA
This 92-nucleotide transfer RNA is filed under the name Marivirga sericea. RNAcentral describes it as "tRNA_Ser_GCT". It matches the Rfam family "tRNA". From Rfam's summary of the family: Transfer RNA (tRNA) molecules are approximately 80 nucleotides in length. Lineage: Bacteria; Pseudomonadati; Bacteroidota; Cytophagia; Cytophagales; Marivirgaceae. RNAcentral also lists the same sequence under 1 other name. The record is from RNAcentral.